Molecule: ribosomal RNA, 301 nt
Filed under: uncultured bacterium
Lineage: Bacteria
Description: partial 16S ribosomal RNA
Rfam family: Bacterial small subunit ribosomal RNA
Source: RNAcentral
CAGUAGCCGCGGGAAUACGUAGGUGGCAAGCGUUGUCCGGAAUUAUUGGGCGUAAAGGGCUCGCAGGCGGUUUCUUAAGUCUGAUGUGAAAGCCCCCGGCUCAACCGGGGAGGGUCAUUGGAAACUGGGAAACUUGAGUGCAGAAGAGGAGAGUGGAAUUCCACGUGUAGCGGUGAAAUGCGUAGAGAUGUGGAGGAACACCAGUGGCGAAGGCGACUCUCUGGUCUGUAACUGACGCUGAGGAGCGAAAGCGUGGGGAGCGAACAGGAUUAGAUACCCCCGUAGUCCCUGUCUCUUAUAU